GAUCUGCUGUGUGCUAUUCCGAGCGUGGUCCGGACGCGGGGCGCGGCGGGCGAAGUGUGUAUGAAUAAGGCCUUUUGGUUGUAAAGUUCUUUUUGUAAAGGAGGAAGGUGUUGUGGUUAAUAACCGCAUUAAUUGACGUUACCCUUAAAAUAAGCACCGGCUAACUCCUUGCCAGCUCCCUGGAUAAUAACA
Molecule: ribosomal RNA, 192 nt
Filed under: uncultured bacterium
Lineage: Bacteria
Description: partial 16S ribosomal RNA
Source: RNAcentral